AACACUGUUAACCUGCGGUACCUGCGGAAGGAUCAUUACCGAGUUUACAACUCCCAAACCCCUGUGAACAUACCACUUGUUGCCUCGGCGGAUCAGCCCGCUCCCGGUAAAACGGGACGGCCCGCCAGAGGACCCCUAAACUCUGUUUCUAUAUGUAACUUCUGAGUAAAACCAUAAAUAAAUCAAAACUUUCAACAACGGAUCU
RNAcentral lists this unclassified non-coding RNA (205 nucleotides) under soil metagenome. Its description in RNAcentral is "partial contains 5.8S ribosomal RNA, internal transcribed spacer 2, and large subunit ribosomal RNA". The record is from RNAcentral.